This 253-nucleotide ribosomal RNA is filed under the name uncultured bacterium. RNAcentral describes it as "partial 16S ribosomal RNA". It matches the Rfam family "Bacterial small subunit ribosomal RNA", at positions 524 to 776 of the family's 1533-position model. The record is from RNAcentral.
GACAGAGGCCUCAAGCGUUAGGCGGAAUCACUGGGCUUAAAGCGUGUGUAGGCGGAUCGUUAAGUCGGGGGUGAAAUCCUGGAGCUCAACUCCAGAACUGCCUUCGAUACUGGCGAUCUUGAGUCCGGAAGAGGUGAGUGGAACUCCUAGUGUAGAGGUGGAAUUCGUAGAUAUUAGGAAGAACACCAGUGGCGAAGGCGGCUCACUGGUCCGGUACUGACGCUGAGGUGCGAAAGCGUGGGGAGCAAACAGG